AACAUAGCUAAACUAGGUUUUCCUUAAACAAGGCAUCAAAAGAAGAAUUCUUUAGUUUCCUUCUUUGUUGCGACUCGCGAGGGAGACGGGAGUGUGUGUGGCAAAGAGGAGAUGAGGAGGCAAGUGGGUUUAUCUAUUGGCUAAUUUAACACCUGACAAGGGUUUUGGUUGGCAGGGACCCAUGAGAGAGAUUGGUGCCUGUUUUUUUUUUCUUUUCUUUUUGUUUUGAGUUUUAAUGCAUUUGCUUCAGUAGCGGUGGUGGACUCACUGUUGCACUUUUCAGCUGAAGUUAAUAUUAUCCGGAUGAGCGGCAUAAUUUUAUAAGAAGCUUUUAUGCACUAAGUAUAUGUUUUUCUGUGGAUGGGAAGCCAAGACCAUCAC
Molecule: long non-coding RNA, 381 nt
Filed under: Phoenix dactylifera (date palm)
Lineage: Eukaryota; Viridiplantae; Streptophyta; Magnoliopsida; Arecales; Arecaceae
Description: long non-coding RNA (PDAC_LNC001434)
Source: RNAcentral